Molecule: long non-coding RNA, 928 nt
Filed under: Nicotiana tabacum (common tobacco)
Lineage: Eukaryota; Viridiplantae; Streptophyta; Magnoliopsida; Solanales; Solanaceae
Description: long non-coding RNA (NTAB_LNC014944)
Source: RNAcentral
UAAACUCAAAACAUAGGCCGAUAAGGCUGAACAAUCCUUCACGUACACAACAUAUGUCUACAAGCUUCUAAGAAUAUGUAAAUGUCAUAAAGGUCGGGAUAGAGUCCCGCCAUACCAAACAAUACACGUCUAAAUCAUACUAAUCAAACAAGCAACUCUGAAGCAAAUGGAGCGCACCAACAUCUUCCGCUGAGCUGAUAGCCUACUGGGAGGGCUCUCGACCUGUCUAUCGGGACCUGCGAGCAUGAAACGCAGCAUCCCUCGCAAAAGGGACGUCAGUACGAAUAAUGUACCGAGUAUGUAAGGCACAUNNNNNNNNNNNNNNNNNNNNNNNNNAUCAUCAUAUACCAGUUGAUCAGGUGGUGGUGCAUAUAUAACACCGUAACUUUUUCCCGUAUCCCAUAUACAUAUAUAUACAUAUAUACGCAUAUAUAACGCCGUCUAAGUCGUGGGUCAAUGUACAUGUAUAAAUGCAUGAAAUGCAUAUGAAAUACGAUAAAAAAAUCUCUCGGUGCGUCAUAAGACCAUUAUACCUCUGAUUAAUAUCAUAAAAUCAUUUUACAUAUUUUCUGAGACCCAUGAACAGACGAUGGAAUAAUAAGACAUGGAAAUUCAAGAAAAUAGGCACUUCUAAUACUUCUAUAAAUAGAGUCAUAUAUGGAAUUUGUGCAUUUGCACGUUUCAUUCGUAUCGUAUGGAUCAUGCCAAAAGAAAGAAGGGAUAGCCUUAACAUACCUGAACCGAUUCUCCUGACAAUUCCUUUAACACCCGUUGAUUGUGACAACAAGUAAUGACAGAUCGAAAUAGGGAAAAUCCAUGAACUUGUGCGUUACUUAAUUCUUGAAAGCUCAUAUUUUUGAAUAAUGUAAUCUUCACGUUUUUGAAAUCUUCAUAUUGAUAAGGUUUCUUAGCAUCUCGUUGAACUUAU